RNAcentral lists this ribosomal RNA (646 nucleotides) under uncultured Crater Lake bacterium CL0-27. Its description in RNAcentral is "bacterial SSU rRNA". It matches the Rfam family "Bacterial small subunit ribosomal RNA", at positions 8 to 670 of the family's 1533-position model. The record is from RNAcentral.
AGAGUUUGAUCAUGGCUCAGGACGAACGCUGGCGGCGUGCUUAACACAUGCAAGUCGAGCGAUGAAACUACUUCGGUAGUGAAUUAGCGGCGAACGGGUGAGGAACACGUGAGGAAUCUGCCUUCAACACUGGGAUAACUCCGGGAAACCGGGGCUAAUACCGGAUACGAGCCUUGAUCGCAUGAUCGAGGCUGGAAAGUUUUUCGGUUGAAGAUGACCUCGCGGCCUAUCAGCUUGUUGGUGAGGUAAUGGCUCACCAAGGCGACGACGGGUAGCCGGCCUGAGAGGGCGACCGGCCACACUGGGACUGAGACACGGCCCAGACUCCUACGGGAGGCAGCAGUGGGGAAUAUUGGGCAAUGGAGGAAACUCUGACCCAGCGACGCCGCGUGCGGGAUGAAGGCCUUCGGGUUGUAAACCGCUUUCAGUAGGGAAGAAGCGAAAGUGACGGUACCUACAGAAGAAGCACCGGCUAACUAUGUGCCAGCAGCCGCGGUAAUACAUAGGGUGCAAGCGUUGUCCGGAAUUAUUGGGCGUAAAGAGCUCGUAGGUGGUUUGAUACGUCGGGUGUGAAAUUCAGGGGCUCAACCCCUGACCUGCAUUCGAUACGGUCAAGCUAGAGUUUGGUAGGGGAGACUGGAAUUCC